GGCCAAUCUAUAGGUUGACCUCGCCUUAAGCUUAUGGUAUAGAUAAAAGUAACGGCCUCUAAGUUUAUUAACCUAAAGGACUAAACGAUGAGAAAACCUUGUUUAUAAAGUAAUAACCUUUAAAUUUUUAAACAUUUCUGGGGUCGCACGCCCUCUAUCCUCUUUAGGAUAGAGUGAGCGCGGCCCCAUAUCUGCAUGUAAAUAAUAAGUGAUGAAGA
Molecule: ribosomal RNA, 218 nt
Filed under: Tuber sp. Tsp-mg01
Lineage: Eukaryota; Fungi; Ascomycota; Pezizomycetes; Pezizales; Tuberaceae
Description: partial large subunit ribosomal RNA
Source: RNAcentral